ACUGAUCACCCCCUUGUUCCAGUUUUUGACUAAGCAAAACUAUCUUUCGGAAAUGGCUUGUAAGAUUUUCCAUCAUUAACUUCCGGUAUGAUCCUUGAUGCAAACCCAACUUUGGAGUUCACCUCUUUGCCACACAGAUCACUUCCUUUUCUAUGCGUUCUGAUGGGACACAUGAUCAGAACUGAAAACCCCCAACCACUGUGAGACGUAGAAUAAUGGUUCCCCAAAGAGGUCCAUGUCCUAAUUCCUGGCACCUGCUGAGAUGUCACCUCACAUAGCAAACAGGCUUUUGCAGAUGCAAUUGAGGGCCUCAUAAUGGGGAGAUUAUCCUGAAUCAUUUGAAUGGCCCAAUGCAACCACAAGGUCCUUAAGAGGCAGAAAUGGAAAGACAGGGAGGGAGAUGGGACCGAAGAAGGAAGGUCCACGUGAUGGGAUGUAGGGACUCUGCUGUGGUUGGCUUUGAAGAUGGAGGAAUGGGACCGUGAGCCUCCAGAGCCUGGGAAAGACAAAGAUUCUUCUCAAAGUCUCCAGGAAAAAAAAAAAAAAGGUCUACUGACUCUUGCUUUUAAGCCCGAGGCUCUCAUCUGCCUUCUAAUCUACAAAACUGGAAGGCUUUUCCCUGCUGUGCUAACAAUUGGAUUUCUACAACAUUGGAUGGAAAU
This is a long non-coding RNA of Canis lupus familiaris (dog), 662 nucleotides long. RefSeq lists it as uncharacterized. The record is from RefSeq and is a predicted model, not a curated record. The transcript has 2 exons. Lineage: Eukaryota; Metazoa; Chordata; Mammalia; Carnivora; Canidae.